RNAcentral lists this ribosomal RNA (1351 nucleotides) under uncultured bacterium. RNAcentral's name for it is "bacterial SSU rRNA". It matches the Rfam family "Bacterial small subunit ribosomal RNA". The record is from RNAcentral.
UCCUAGUGAUUAGAGUUUGAUCAUGGCUCAGAACGUACGCUGGCGGCACGCCUAACACAUGCAAGUCGAACGAAGUAGCAAUACUUAGUGGCAGACGGGUGAGUAACAUGUAGGUAUCUGCCCUUUGGCCUGGAAUAACACGAGGAAACUUGUGCUAAUACCGGAUAAGUCUUUACGGAGAAAGCUUUAUGCACCAUUGGAUGAGCCUGCACUUGAUUAGUUUGUUGGUGGGGUAAUGGCCUACCAAGACUGUGAUCAAUAGCUGAUUUGAGAGGAUGAUCAGCCACAUUGGGACUGAGACACGGCCCAAACUCCUACGGGAGGCAGCAGUGGGGAAUCUUGCACAAUGGAGGAAACUCUGAUGCAGCGAUGCCGCGUGAGUGAAGAAGGCCCUUGGGUUGUAAAGCUCUUUCGUCGGGGAAGAAAAUGACUGUACCCGAAUAAGAAGGUCCGGCUAACUUCGUGCCAGCAGCCGCGGUAAUACGAAGGGACCUAGCGUAGUUCGGAAUUACUGGGCUUAAAGAGUUCGUAGGUGGUUGAAAAAGUUGGUGGUGAAAUCCCAGAGCUUAACUCUGGAACUGCCAUCAAAACUUUUCAGCUAGAGUUUGAUAGAGGAAAGCAGAAUUUCUAGUGUAGAGGUGAAAUUCGUAGAUAUUAGAAAGAAUACCAAUUGCGAAGGCAGCUUUCUGGAUCAAUACUGACACUGAGGAACGAAAGCAUGGGUAGCGAAGAGGAUUAGAUACCCUCGUAGUCCAUGCCGUAAACGAUGUGUGUUAGACGUUGGAGAUUUAUUUUCAGUGUCGCAGCGAAAGCGAUAAACACACCGCCUGGGGAGUACGACCGCAAGGUUAAAACUCAAAUGAAUUGACGGGGACCCGCACAAGUAGUGGAGCAUGUGGUUUAAUUCGAAGAUACGCGCAGAACCUUACCAACACUUGACAUGUUCGUCGCGACUUUAAGAGAUUAAAGUUUUCGGUUCGGCCGGACGAAACACAGGUGCUGCAUGGCUGUCGUCAGCUCGUGUCGUGAGAUGUUGGGUUAAGUCCCGCAACGAGCGCAACCCUCACUUUUAGUUGCCAUCAUUAAGUUGGGCACUCUGAAAGAACUGCCAGUGAUAAGCUGGAGGAAGGUGGGGAUGACGUCAAGUCCUCAUGGCCCUUACGUGUUGGGCUACACACGUGCUACAAUGGUAUCUACAACAGGAAGCAAGACGGCGACGUUAAGCAAAUCCUUAAAAGAUACCUCAGUUCGGAUUGCACUCUGCAACUCGAGUGCAUGAAGCUGGAAUUACUAGUAAUCGUGGAUCAGCGUGCCACGGUGAAUGCGUUCCCGGGUCUUGUACACACCGCCC